RNAcentral lists this ribosomal RNA (257 nucleotides) under uncultured bacterium. RNAcentral's name for it is "partial 16S ribosomal RNA". It matches the Rfam family "Bacterial small subunit ribosomal RNA", at positions 524 to 776 of the family's 1533-position model. The record is from RNAcentral.
UACGAAGGGGGCUAGCGUUGCUCGGAAUCACUGGGCGUAAAGCGCACGUAGGCGGAUUGUUAAGUCAGGGGUGAAAUCCUGGAGCUCAACUCCAGAACUGCCUUUGAUACUGGCGAUCUUGAGUCCGGGAGAGGUGAGUGGAACUGCGAGUGUAGAGGUGAAAUUCGUAGAUAUUCGCAAGAACACCCGUGGCGAAGGCGGCCCCCUGGGCCGUCAGCCCUGACGGCUGAGGCGCGAAGGCUAGGGGAGCGAACGGG